CACGUGUGUUCCGCUUUCUCACAUUCCCACGAGAAGGUUCAGCUCACCGCAGUUUAGGACCCAGCCGCAAAGCCGGGCUCAUUCUGGGGAGUGAUUUUCUUCACGGAGGCUCGAUACGCAGGCGCCGUCUGCAGGCAACAGCUUCUGCUGAAGGGCAGCCGUAUUUAGAACAGCGGAAAUGUGCAGGAGACAGGGUCUCGCUAUGUUGCCCAAGCUGGAGGAAGUGGAAUUCCUGAGAGCAGCAGAGAUCGAGCUUGGGGUUACGGUUUGCUGCGUCUGAGCAAAAGGACCUGCGAGAACAGGCCGAGCGCAGUGGCUCACGCCUGUAAUUCCAGCACUUUGGGAGGCCGAGGCGGGCAGAUCACCUGAGUUCCAGACCAGCCUGGCCAACAUGGUGAAACCCCGUCUCUACUAAAAAAUACAAAAAUUAGCCGGGCGUGGUGUCGUGCACCUGAUAUUCCAGCUGCUCCGGAGGCUGAGGCAAGAGAAUCGCUGGAACCCAGGAGGCGGAGGUUGCAGUGAGCAGAGAUGGCAGCACUGCACUCCACCCUGGGCGACAGAGCUAGACUCCAUCUUAAAAAAAAAAAAAAAAAAAAAGGACCUGCGAGAACAAAGUGUUUUCUGGUGAGGUUGUGUUUUAAGUCAACAGAGUGUGUGUAACAGCAGUAGGUUCCUUGCCCAAUGCACAUAGCAAGUCUAUAUGCAGAGACACCAGGUUGCAGCAGAGAAAGAGGUCUAAUCAUAGGGCCACCUAAGGAGGAGACAGGAAGAAGCCUCACAUCCAUCUCUGCUAGGAAUUUGGGAAUUUGGGGUUAGAGUUUGUAAGGGUAAUGGAGUUGACUGAUUGGUGGGAGAGUGCUGGUGAAAUCGUGGUACAAGGAGAUGAAGAAACUACAUUCUCAUGCUCAUCCCAUUCCUCUGUGGGGGGUCUUCAAACUGGUUGAACUCAACUGUUUCACCGGAACUCGUGGUCUGAAAAACAUCUUAAGCGAUCCUUAAACAAAAGCCUUAUGAUUCUAAUGUCAGAGAUCCUGUCUACAGGAACAACAGGGAUGCAAAUCAAUUCUUAGUCUGAUGUCUGAAAUCCUAUCUAUAGGAACAAUAGAGAUGCAAAUGUCAGUAUCUAGUGCCUUGUGACUAUUAGCAACAAGGAAGUAGGCCGAAGUGCAGCCUGAUUAAUGCUUAAUUAUAACUAUAUUUCUGUCCAGAACCUGCAUGCAAUUUUUGUGAACCCUGUUGGGGCGGUUUCAUGUGUGUGGUGAUAGGAUAAGCACAUGACCCUGGUUUUCCAGGAAGUCUUCAUUUCAAACAUGUAUGAAUCAAACCCUGCUAAACCUGUAUUUCAACACAUGAAUCAAGUCAAUGCCCAUAACAGUAUAACUAUCUGUAAAUCACAAAAGUAUGAGAACUAUCCUGUUGGGGCAACUGCUCUUGAGCAGACUAAGUUACUUUUCGCCUGUGGCUACAUAUGCAGUCCGUAAUUUGGGAUUUACCUGAAUAUACAUAUUUGUCAGAUGGUGAAUGCUUAAUAAUGAAAAUUGCCAUUCUCUGACUCACAAUAUGAGUAGAUUACAAAAAAAUAAUAAUCUGAAUUUUCUUGGAAAGAAAAUUCUGUUGUAUAAUUUUAUUAUUUAAAAUGUAGUAGCCGAGAAGCCGGGCACGGUGACUCACGCCUAUAAUCCCAGCACUUUGGGAGGCCGAGGUGGGUGGAUCGCCUAAGGUCAGGAGUUGGAGACCAGCCUGAACAACACGGUGAAACCCCAUCUCUACUAAAAAUAGAAAAACUAGCCGGGCGUGGUCGUGGGUGCCUAUAAUCCUAGCUACUCAGGAGGCUGAGGUAGGAGAAUCACUUGAACCUAGGAGGAGGAGGUUGCAGUGAGCGGAGAUUGCACCAUUGCACUCCAGCCUGGGAAACAAGAGUGAAACUCCAUCUCAAAAAAGAAAAAAAAAAAUGUAGUAGCCGAGCACAGUGGGAGGCCGAGGUGGGUAGAUUGUUGGAGCCCAAGAAUUCAAGGCCAGUCAGGGCAACCUGGUGGGACCCUGUCUCCAUAAAAAAAUACAAAAAUUAGCCUGAAAUGGUAAUGCACACCUGUCGACCCAGUUACUCGGGAGGCUGAGGUAAGAUCACUUGAGCCAGGGAGGUUGAAGCUGCAGUGAGCUGUAAUAAUACCACUGCACUCCAGCCUGGGCGACAGACUGACAUCCCAUCUCCAAAAAAAAAGUAGUAAAGUUUUCAAGUUUGAUGUUAUAAGGCAAGAACAACAAUUUCUGUCAGAUGCUCCUAUGGCCAUUUAACAGGGACAUUUGUAUUACUAAAUAAGACUUCCAACUGAGCUCCAUAGAAAGCAAGGCUACCUCUCUGCUUUAAUAUGGUAAUAUUACCACCAACUUAUUAAAUGUUCCUUCCUUGAAUAGGAAUAUAUUAAGACAAGAAAUUCUUCCUAUUUAAUUCUUGGCCUUAAAAAUUCUUUGGAUGGUACUGGCAUUUCAUUAAGCAAUUUCACUGACUGAAGCUUUUUGUGUACUGUUUAAAGAAGAUGCACAAUAUUUUCAGAAGCAGAUGUAAGGUUGUUGUACUAACUUAUUUUUAAUUUAUAAUAUUUUUGUCUGCUCUUGCUGCUAUACAUAAUCACUAGAGAAAAAAAUUGUCCUAAAAGUUUGGAUCUAGAAAUGUGACUAUGAAACAAUUUAAUUGGCUUUUUUGGGGGGUUGUUUGUUUGUUUUUUGAGAUGGAGUUUUUACUCUUGUUGCCCAGACUAGAGUGGAAUGGCGCAAUCUCUGCUCACUGGAACCUCUGCCUCCCGGGUUCAAGUGAUUCUCCUGCCUCAGCCUCCCAAGUAGCUGGGAUUACAGGCAUGCGCCACCAUGGGGGCUAAUUUUGUAUUUUAAGUAGAGACGAGGUAUCACCAUGUUGGCCAGGCUGGUCUCGAACUACUGACCUCAGGUGAUCUGCCCACCUCGGCCUCCCAGAGUGCUGGGAUUACAGGCGUGAGCCACCGCACCCUGCCAAUUGGUUUUUGAGUUAACAAAAUAAUCCCAGUUUCCAUCUGCAUCUUGACUUUCCCUGCAUAUGCACACCAAUUUCAGCAUCUUCCUUUGCACAGAAUCAAGGACAGAUUUUUUUCAGCAUGUAUGAUGUAAAAAAUACACUGAUGGCACAUCAAUUUAUUCAGCAAGUUCCAACAAACUCUUUUGUCUUCAAGCAACCAUUGGUUAUUGGUAAAUCUUGCUACAUUGGUAAUAUUCUCUGAAAAUUACAAAAUUAAAGCCUUUAUCCGAUCAGCUUUAGAAGGACGUAAUAAUUGCACCACCUUGCUUCAGUAUCUUGUAAAACAAGACAGUUUCAAAAUCUACAAUGUUCCUGCUUGCCGCCAGUAAUUUUCUUUUCUUUUCUUUUUUGAGAUGGAGUCUCGCUCUGGCCACCGCGCCUGGCCAGUAAUUGUCUAUUACAUCAUUAAUACAUUAAGCUAGAUGUGGGAGAAUCACCUGAGCCUGGGAGGUUGAGUUUGCAGGGAGCCGAGAUCAUGCCACUAUACUAAUCAAUCAUCGAUCAAUAAAAUAACAUACAUGAAGCUAUACCUGUUUUCUGAAUGUAAAACUGAAGAUGGGAACAAACUAUAGUGUGCUUGUGCUCAUAGCCUUUACUGUAUUUUUCCAUGGGAAAUUCGACGUUCGUGCGUUUCCGUUUACUGAUUUUACAUUCCACAAAUUUUUCUCAAAGUCAGAUUCACUGAGACCUAGGAAUUUUUCAUUAAGUAGGGAAAAUGGAAACCCAGUUGAAUUAAUAAUUGCUCCUCUGUAUGGUCAAACAUAAAAAGUUAAGCGUGAUUCUUCAUAUCCAAAUAUCUGGUUUUUUGUUUGUUUGUUUGUUUUUAGACGGAGUCUCGCUCUGUUGCCCAGGCUGGAGUGCAGUGGCGCG
Molecule: long non-coding RNA, 3919 nt
Filed under: Homo sapiens (human)
Lineage: Eukaryota; Metazoa; Chordata; Mammalia; Primates; Hominidae
Description: LHRI_LNC1358.1
Source: RNAcentral